GGCGAACGGGUGAGUAAUGCAUCGGAACAUGUCCAGUCGUGGGGGAUAGCCCGCCGAAAGGCGGAUUAAUACCGCAUACGCCCGGGAGGGGAAAGCAGGGGACCGCAAGGCCUUGCGCGAUUGGGUUGGCCGAUGUCCGAUUAGCUAGUUGGUGGGGUAAAGGCUUACCAAGGCGAUGAUCGGUAGCUGGUCUGAGAGGAUGAUCAGCCACACUGGGACUGAGACACGGCCCAGACUCCUACGGGAGGCAGCAGUGGGGAAUUUUGGACAAUGGGGGCAACCCUGAUCCAGCCAUUCCGCGUGAGUGAAGAAGGCCUUCGGGUUGUAAAGCUCUUUUGUCCGGAGCGAAACGGGCGCGGCUAAUACCUGCGUCUACUGACGGUACCGGAAGAAUAAGCACCGGCUAACUACGUGCCAGCAGCCGCGGUAAUACGUAGGGUGCGAGCGUUAAUCGGAAUUACUGGGCGUAAAGCGUGCGCAGGCGGUUUUGUAAGCCAGAUGUGAAAUCCCCGGGCUUAACCUGGGAAUGGCAUUUGGGACUGC
Molecule: ribosomal RNA, 543 nt
Filed under: uncultured beta proteobacterium
Lineage: Bacteria; Pseudomonadati; Pseudomonadota; Betaproteobacteria
Description: bacterial SSU rRNA
Rfam family: Bacterial small subunit ribosomal RNA
Source: RNAcentral